GACUUAGGAGGAAGCCUGAGAGUCUGUGGACCCAUCAGAAGUGAAUCCCUCUUUGGAUUCCAGCAGUGAGCAGAGUGGAUCUUGUGUCUGGCCAGCACAGAAGAUGCUCACUGUCUUCAUGGGCCCCUUCCUGUAGAAGUUUUGCUUACAGCCAAACUCCUGCUUGAUUUCCAUUUCUCCAAUCCAGCACUGGACUAAACUUCUGAUGUCUCUGAGCCAUGUUACAGGCUCUGCCCUGUGUUCACUGUCUUAGGCUGCCUGCAGCCUGGAAGACAGUUAACUUCAUGUAAAAGAAAGCCACCCCUUUAUCAGGGGUGUGUUUUACCUUGAAAAGUCCCCCCCCAGACUCGUGUGCUGUGUUCCAUACAUGACGUAUACCACACAAGUGAUGUUUGUGGCAUGACACCAGCCCCAAACAAUUUAUCUCUAGCAACUCACCACAUCAGGCUGUGAAGUCAGUGAGCACUUCCACAAUUAGUAUGUGUGAUCAGCACCCCUGACAGGAGGUUCAACUCUGUACCCGCAGCCUUUGCUUGGGAGUUGUUGUUUUAAGCUUUUAUAGAAAGAAAAGGCAGUAUCUGUAAACGAUACAGAUCUUUGUGUGGCUGCCUAGGCAUAAUGUUUUGCACUGUUUCUGUACGAUCUUGAGUCUCUUACAUUAAUCCAAACCUAAUCACGGAAGCAGCUACGAAUUGAUGGCCGUUCUGGUGAAACCUCUCUUUUUCCCCGAAGAAAAAGAAAACAAGCAAACAGAACCUUCAAAGAAACCAGCAUUUUCAAAGAGACAGGACUUCUGUUUGUGCAGGCGUCAAUGUUGCUCCAUCGUCUUGCUCAGCACGGGUAAACCCAGACAGCCUGAGAAGAGCUCUUAAGGCAAUACUUAGGAAAAAUAGGCCAGAGCUGAAAAUGUUAGGAUGAGAACGAGCAGAUGAGUAACACACAGCUAGGUUAUUUGACAUAACCAGUGAGAUUAUUUACUGCUCUCAGUUCUGCCCAGAGCACUGGUGAUGUUUGGAAGCAAUUCGCUAUCAGCUGCAGGUAAGCAGCAGCUCAUGCCUCGCUGGGCCUGAAAGCAACAAGGACGAUGGAGGUUGAGAUGUCGGCGGCGUCUGAACCGCCGCUGUUUACUGCAGACAAAAUCGUCUCGGAGAAGCACCAUGAUCCGAGCAUGGAACCGGAUUCCAGGACCGUCUGAGCACUAAAUAUAGCGGCCGUGCUAACUCAGCGGCUCUGGGCGCAGCAGAUAACAUCCUGCUUCGGGACGGCUCGCAGGAGUCAGGCGAGGGGAGGUGUGAAAUUCAAUCCCUGUCAGGGCACUGGCAAGCAGUUCUUGGGCAUCCUGGGAUCUCUUUUCACUGUCUUGGUUUAUAUCUUUUUGAAAUGUUUGAGAGAACAAUAAAAAGAUUAGGAAAAAUUAAAGGACAUAUUUUGGUAUCAGUGGGCUAAACUCUUCCUUCAUCUACACAUAGUAUCUUCCAACAGGCCUCCGUCAUGUUUGCUAAAGCUUCUGAACACGGAAAACAUCACAAGUGUUAAAUAUCAGACCUUUGUUUGUUUGUUGUUUUAAUAAAAACACCCAAGGACUAUUAGGCGUGUUGGGGAAGAGCUGCUUCUGGCAGGGGAAUAGAGAGGGUGCGCCUACAAACCCAGUAAGCCCUGGGUAGCUCACACCACAACGUUCCCGUGC
This 1687-nucleotide long non-coding RNA is filed under the name Anas platyrhynchos (mallard). RNAcentral describes it as "lncRNA (ENSAPLG00020003911.1)". The record is from RNAcentral. Lineage: Eukaryota; Metazoa; Chordata; Aves; Anseriformes; Anatidae.